UACGUAGGGGGCAAGCGUUGUCCGGAAUUAUUGGGCGUAAAGCGCGUGCAGGCGGCUUGUUAAGUUGGGUGUUUAAGACCGGGGCUCAACCCCGGCUCGCACCCAAAACUGGGAAGCUUGAGUGUAGGAGAGGAAAGUGGAAUUCCACGUGUAGCGGUGAAAUGCGUAGAGAUGUGGAGGAACACCAGUGGCGAAGGCGACUUUCUGGCCUAUAACUGACGCUGAGGCGCGAAAGCGUGGGGAGCAAACAGG
RNAcentral lists this ribosomal RNA (252 nucleotides) under uncultured bacterium. RNAcentral describes it as "partial 16S ribosomal RNA". It matches the Rfam family "Bacterial small subunit ribosomal RNA", at positions 524 to 776 of the family's 1533-position model. The record is from RNAcentral.